UGCAGUCGAAGGAGAAGCGGGCUUCGGCCCGUGGACACUGGCGAAAGGGCGAGUAAUGCAUUCGAACGUACCCCGAGGUGGAGGAUAGCUGUGGGAAACCGCAGGUAAUACUCCAUGUGCUCUAACGAGGAAAGCUCCGGCGCCUUGGGAGCGGCGAAUGUCCUAUCAGGUUGUUGGUGAGGUAACGGCUCACCAAGCCGAAGACGGGUAGCGGGUGUGAGAGCAUGACCCGCCGCAUCGGGACUGAGACACUGCCCGGACUCCUACGGGAGGCUGCAGUAACGAAUAUUCCGCAAUGCGCGAAAGCGUGACGGAGCAAUGCCGCGUGUGGGAUGAAGCGGUUACGCCGUGUAAACCACUGUCAGGGUCUAGGAAGAACUGACCAGACCCAGAGGAAGGGCCGGCUAAUCUCGUGCCAGCAGCCGCGGUAAGACGAGAGGCCCAAGCGUUAAUCGGAAUCACUGGGCUUAAAGGGUGCGUAGGCGGACUUGUAGGUGUGUCGUGAAAUCCCCCGGCUCAACCGGGGAACUGCGGUGCAAACCACAAGUCUUGAGGUAGGUAGAGGUUGUCGGAACGUUCGGUGGAGCGGUGAAAUGCGUUGAUAUCGAACGGAACGCCGAUGGUGAAGACAGGCAACUGGGCCUUACCUGACGCUGAGGCACGAAAGCGUGGGGAUCAAACAGGAUUAGAUACCCUGGUAGUCCACGCCGUANACGAUGUGCACUAGACCGAUGCGGGUCUGACCCCGAGUCGGUCGUAGAGAAAUUAUUAAGUGCACCGCCUGGGGAGUACGGUCGCAAGACUAAAACUCAAAGGAAUUGACGGGGGCUCACACAAGCGGUGGAGCAUGUUGCUUAAUUCGAAGCAACGCGAAGAACCUUUUACAGGCUUGACAUGCAUGGAUUAGCUCAUGGGAACAUGAGUAACGC
RNAcentral lists this ribosomal RNA (929 nucleotides) under uncultured marine bacterium. RNAcentral describes it as "bacterial SSU rRNA". It matches the Rfam family "Bacterial small subunit ribosomal RNA", at positions 56 to 1018 of the family's 1533-position model. The record is from RNAcentral.